GACGAACGCUGGCGGCGUGCUUAACACAUGCAAGUCGAACGGAAAGGCCCUGCUUUUGUGGGGUGCUCGAGUGGCGAACGGGUGCGUAACACGUGAGUAACCUGCCCUUGACUUUGGGAUAACUUCAGGAAACUGGGGCUAAUACCGGAUAGGAGCUCCUGCUGCAUGGUGGGGGUUGGAAAGUUUCGGCGGUUGGGGAUGGACUCGCGGCUUAUCAGCUUGUUGGUGGGGUAGUGGCUUACCAAGGCUUUGACGGGUAGCCGGCCUGAGAGGGUGACCGGCCACAUUGGGACUGAGAUACGGACCAGAGUGCUACGGGAGGCAGCGGUGGGGAAUAUGGCACAAUGGGCGGAAGCCUGAUGCAGCAACGCCGCGGGCGGGAUGACGGCCUUUGGGUUGUAAACCGCUUUCGCCUGUGACGAAGCGUGAGUGACGGUAAUGGGUAAAGAAGCACCGGCUAACUACGUG
This 468-nucleotide ribosomal RNA is filed under the name uncultured bacterium. Its description in RNAcentral is "partial 16S ribosomal RNA". It matches the Rfam family "Bacterial small subunit ribosomal RNA", at positions 28 to 507 of the family's 1533-position model. The record is from RNAcentral.